UGAAAUGUCUGCUCUAGACUCACACACCUGUCUCGCUCCCUCCUUCCAGAACUCUUAAAACGCCUAGAUGACGUUUCCAACGAUGUGAGGAUGGCAGCCGCCUCCACCUUGGUCACCUGGCUGCAGUGUGUCAAGGGUGCCAACGCAAAAUCCUACUAUCAGAGCAGUGUCCAGUACCUGUACCGAGAGUUGCUGGUUCACCUUGACGAUCCAGAGAGGGCCAUCCAGGAUGCAAUUUUAGAGGUCCUCAAAGAGGGCAGCGGGCUGUUCCCAGAUCUCCUGGUGAGGGAGACGGAG
RNAcentral lists this small RNA (297 nucleotides) under Pan troglodytes (chimpanzee). Its description in RNAcentral is "retained intron". Lineage: Eukaryota; Metazoa; Chordata; Mammalia; Primates; Hominidae. The record is from RNAcentral.